Molecule: long non-coding RNA, 4902 nt
Organism: Mus musculus (house mouse)
Lineage: Eukaryota; Metazoa; Chordata; Mammalia; Rodentia; Muridae
Product: predicted gene, 35363
Exons: 5
Source: RefSeq, a predicted model, not a curated record
AAUAGAAAAAAAAAACACUCUAACUUCUAAUCAGAUAACAUUAUAACCCAGAAAUUAGAUGCAGUCGUUCCAGAAGACAGAUACACAAAGUUCAUUCAAUCUGCUGAUGACUUGUGGCCUCAAACGUAAGACUCCACCUCUGAGCUCCAGACAGACAAGACAGACAAGACAGACAAGACAGACAAGACAGACAGACAGACAGACACACACACACACACAGAGCAGCUGGCCACGCCUCCAGCAUCGCCCAGGAAACACUGUAUUUUCACUGCUGACGCUGUGUAGAUGAUCAACAGCUGCUCCUGGAAGCUCCUGUACAGGGUUGUACGGAGUAUGUUAGAAAUAUUUCAGAAAGAGGCGGGCAUUCCGUGGUGACUCAGAUGAACUGCCUGUCACAGUCUGGGUUCCCUUAAAAACACAGCCUGAGUCAAGAAGUCGCCUCCGUGAAGAUUUUCUUAGUAGGCAAUGUCAGGGUGCAGGAAUGAGAAAUUGUCACGCUGACCAGCUGUCCCUGUUUGUAGAACACUGAGAAGUUUUCUAAGAAGUGAAACCCAAGAAGUACAUAUGAGAGGAGCAGUCAACUGAGUUGAAGGCAAAUGGAAGAGACUGGACUGAUGCAGUCAACGAAGACAAGAGGACACUCUUCAUCCAGAAACAAUCAUGCUUGUAGACCGUCUGGUUCACUGUCGCUUGGCUCCGUCAUGGUAGCAGGAACAAAUGGCAGAAGAAAUUCUUUGCACCAUCUCAGCACGGCAGGAGGGUUAAUGUGCUUCCAAGAAUCUGCUAAUGACCUACUUCCUCCAGCUAACCUCCUCAUCUAAGGGUCUUGAAUUCCCUCGAAAUGGCAUCAGUUUUGGGAAGUCGCCCAAACUAUCUUUCAGUGUAGGAGCCUCUUGGAGGGACACUUCAACUCUAGACUGCAGCAGAUGCCCUCCAACUUGAUGCUAUAAGAACUCAAAACUCUUCUGCCCUUGCCCCCAGGUGCUUGUGGAUACUUCCAUUUGUAAAGGAGGAAACCACGACCCAAACCGAGCAAGGUGAUGGCAGAGCAGAGAUCUGAACCGGGUCUGCCCGACGCUGGGAUCCGCACAGCAUUCUGCCCAAGUGCCUCCCAGCUGUCAGGAGGACCAAUGGGAACCUCACCUAGCAGCUAAGAAGAGUAUCCUGGGAAAAGAAUAAGGAAGGACACUAAAUCAGGAGAAUGGUGACGUCAUCAUUUGACUGUCUGGUUCCUGCCAGUCUACCAGGUAUAAAAUGGUUUGUUGUUGCCCUUUCUGUUUCUCUGGUAACCAAGGAGCUGGAGAAGAUUUUCUAAAUGCUUUUGAGCUGCUUUUUCCAUAAAUAUCUUGUUCCAGGGAUUUCUUCUUUUUAUUUUUUUUUUCUAUUGAGGUUGAUGCUUUCUUGCAAGAAUUUCUUAUGUAUCCUAGAUAUUAGCAACUUGUCAAUCUUAAACAUUGCAAACAAUUUUCCCCAAUCCACCAGCUCUUUGUCUGGGACACAUGUCACAGAUAAGACAUCUGAAAGCUACAGUUCCUGUGUAAUUGGAUUUCCUAUGGUUUUGCUUAUGGCUUGUCCUCUAUGCACACAGAAUCACUCUGCAUUUUCUUCUGUUUACUUUUUACUAGCUUUUUUUUUUUUUUUCGGAUUGAUUCUCACACACUCCGGGCUAGACAGGAGCUCACUCUGUAGCCAAGGCUGGCCUUGAAUGCCUAGUGUUCCUGUUUCCAUUUCCCGAGUGCUGGGAUCACAGAUGGGCACCGCCUAGCCUGGCUGCCUCCUCUCCAGGUCCAUUUUCACCUUUUACCUUUAGCCUAAUCCACGCAUCCUCCUCCUGUGCGUGUGACGUACAUUGGGAUCCAGCGUUCUCUUCCUCUGCAUCACAGGGGAGUUUCCAGACACCCACACUUUCUCCUAGAUGCAGCUUCCACCUUUGUUGGGUAACAACGUGGUGUUCCUAAGUGUCACAUGUUCUCCUCUGAGCGCCCUAUUCCUCUUCUGUUGGCCCAGAAGCUUUUCUUACAUCAAUACCAUUUUAUUUUAUUUUUUUUAUAUAUUUUAAUUUGUUUUGGUUUUUUGAGACAGGGUUUCUCUGUGUAGCUGUGGCUGUCCUGGAACUCACUUUGUAGACCAGGCUGACCUCGAACUCAGAAAUCCACCUGCCUCUGCCUCCCAAGUGCUGGGAUUAAAGGCAUGCGCCACCAAGCCCAGUUUACAUCAGUACCAUUUAAGAUGACUGCACUCUUUACUUUUGUCUUUCAAUUCUGGACUUCACUUUUUUGUUUUUCAUCAUUUUAUGAAUAUUCAUGAAUUGUACAUAGUAGAUUGCAUUAUGACAUUUGCAUACACGUAUGUGAUGUAUAUCAAUCAUAUUCCGCACUCAUUGCUCUCUCUCUCUCUCUCUCUCUCUCUCUCUCUCUCUCUCUCUCUCUCCUCUCUCUCUUAAAUAACCAGUGAAUUUCAAUAGGAUUGCCCAGAGGAGCCGGAGGAGGAGCUCUUCACAGGCACAUGGGCACCUUACCAGUGGCUGGCUACCCCAUGCAGAAAAUGUCUCUUCUUUGAGCAACCAGGAACUUCUUAUAAAUCCUCAGGACAGGGUAGGGCCUGGAAAGCCCCUGCCUUUGUAAUGUUACUGGAUUCAAUCUAGUGCAGGUAACAACAGCGGCUACCGAUUCAACAGUGCAAUGGCCGAGUUAUGCAGAAGUCCACAUUCCCCGUCCCCUUGCUGCUUCCUCUGACUGGAAUACACUUUCUGCUCCCUCUCCUGCCACGUUCUUUGGGCAUCAGAGAUGAUAUAGAUGUCCCAUUUACUGCUGAGCAUCCAACCAUCAUUUAUUCUCGCUGCUUCCACCAGUUAUGAGCUUCUGCAUUUAUGGCUGCCCACUGCAAAACAAAGCUUCUCUGACCAAAGCCGACAGCAGCACUCACCCAUGGGCAUAAACACUUAUCCAGAAGGCAAUUUGAUGGGCACAUCGUGUCCAUUUAACAAAACAACAGUGGCUGCUUCCCCACUCGGGCCUAUGACCCUCUAAACAUAUUGGCUAUUUCUUUUACAGUGCAGAGCAUAAAACCCAGGUUCUAUGUGUGGUAGACAAGUACUCUAUGGCUAAGUUUCUUCUCCAGUGUGUGUGUGUGUGUGUGUGUGUGUGUGUGUGUGUGUGUGUGUGUAUCCUAGUCAUCUUCUUUAGCAUCUCCAGGCACCCACCCACCCCCACACACACAGAGAGAGAGAGAGAGAGAGAGAACACUUUGAAUUGGAUCUCACUGUGUUGUCCCUGUCCCAGCUAGCCUUGAACUCAUGACCCUUGUGCCUCGGUCCCCCAAGUGCUGAAAUUACAAGUGUAAUUUCACUCUGCCUUGCUGGGCUCUCAAAACACUAAUGUUGUUGCUAUGGAAGUGCUAUCGAUGCUUGCAUUUCAGAAACACCAGUGAGCUCUUUUAGAUCUACCUCUCAUCUAUCGACCUGUUUGCUUUCUACUUAAAGAGUAGCAUCACCUUUGAAGAACAAGUUUCCCUUCAUAGUCCAGAUGUGCACAUCUUAUGUCUUCUCAUUACAGCAUUAGCCAGGCUUUCUGAGUUACGCAGUAUUGCUCACUGUUCUAGUUUGCAUUUCUGUGACUGUGAUUAACACCAUGACCAAAAUCAGCUUGGAGGAAGAAAGUGUUUAUUUGGCUUAUGGGCUACAGUCCGUUAUUAAGAGAAGCUGAGGUGGUUUGAAUGAGAAUGGCCCCUACACGGUCAGAGGUCUGAAUGCUUGGCUACCAGUUGGUGGACUUAUUUGGGAAGGAUUAGGAGGUGUGCCCUUCUCGGAGGGGGUUUAUGACUGAGUGUGGGCUUUGAGGUUUCAAUAGUCCACACCAUUGUCAGUGUCUCACCCCCCAUCUGCUUGUGGUCCAGAUGUAAGCUCCCAGCUAUUGCUCCAGGACCAUGGCUGCCUGCUGCCGUGCUCCUUACCAUGAAGGGCUCACUCUCUCCCUAACUGUGAGCUCCCAUUAAACACUUCCUUCUCUAAGUUAUCUCAGUCAUGGUCUCUUAGCACAGCAAUAGAAAAGGAACUAAGAUAGGAGCCAGGGCAGGCCCUCAAGACAGGAGCUUGAAGCAGAAGCCAUGGACGAAUCCUGUUUCCUGGCUUGCUUCCUCCAGUGACCAGUCAGCUUUCUUAUAUACCCAGGACCACCAACUUGAGGGUGGCACCACCCACAGCGGACUGGCCUUUCCACAUCAAUCAUUAAUGAGGGCAAACAUGAUCACAGGAGAGAACGAUGGGAGCAAACCCUCAAUCUGGGUUCUCUCCCCCAGAUGUUUGUCAAGUCGACAAUCAAGACCAUCAACCAAGUGAUGGCAGGCAUCUCUGUCUUAUAUUUUUUUCAUAAACAGAAUGUGUUGGCUCUGAAAAUGACUCAAAUGUUUGCUGAAGAUUUUUUUGAAAUAUUUUUCCAAGUUGGUUUCCCAUCUCAUCCCACGAUGUUGAAGCCAUUUCAAUCACAAAUAGACACCAUCUAGAUCAAACGCUUCUUUCUGUUCUGAUUGAAGUAAUCAUGGUUUGUCUCAAUAAGUCCCAUUGAUAUGGUGAAUUACUUUUCUGGGUUUUCUGGGGUGGAAACAUUCUUUCAUUCCCAUAAGGAAAUUUUUUCCAUCUGGUUAUGAUGCAUUUUAAAAGAUUCCAUUGCGUCUCCAUUUCAACAUAGAAGUUUGGUGGUCCAUAGACAAAACUGAGGUGACCACCACGCGUCACUGUGCUCUCUGAGCUGUCUCUCCCUGGUUCGCAUCUGUUAUCAUCUCUUGCAUUGGGGCUAUCUCACUUAGAAAUAAAAAACCAGGCCAGUUUCAUAAGUUACCUAUACCUUUUAAAAGAUUUGUGUUUGUUUAUUUGUCUUGUUUUUGUUUUUUGAGACAAGGCUUCUC